Thunnus maccoyii (southern bluefin tuna) is the source of this 738-nucleotide long non-coding RNA. RefSeq lists it as uncharacterized. The record is from RefSeq and is a predicted model, not a curated record. The transcript has 2 exons. NCBI's taxonomy places the organism in Eukaryota, Metazoa, Chordata, Actinopteri, Scombriformes, Scombridae.
ACAGUGUACACAGAGUUUUACGUAAAGCUAUUUUUCACCUUUUUUUUUCCCCCCACUGGGAUUGGCAGGAAAUGCUCACUAUGUUAUCUCAGGAUGGAAGAUUCUCACCAACCACAUGCUGGUAAAUGAAUGUGAGUUACGAGUGGAAACGCUCCACAAUCACCAGGUGUGUUAAGACUAAAUGAGAUGGGAAAUUUCAGAGGCUGAGCCACUGCAGUUAAAGCCAAUUAACGAAGAAGAUGAAGGCAAAUUACCGUCCAAAGGAGAGAAAAUGGAGGAAAAUUACAGACACAGCAGGAGUUCCUGGAUGGAGAACCUGUCACAGGUCAUGAUGGACGUCAGUGCUGCUAAUUUCUGAUUAACCAAAUUAUGAAGACCUGAAUGACACGGAGGAAACCUGCAAGGCCUUUUGGUCCCCUUUACACCUUCAACAGGAGCCAUUUGUAAACACUUUAAAUUUCCAACGUGCUCGGACAACACGAUGUUUGAACUAGUUCUUAUCAACUAUAAACCAACCUGACAUCCUCCUGACAGAUACAUUAUCAACACGACCAAAAGACGUCACUUGUCAGUUGAUUAAAAGUAUUUGAACAAACAACCAAAGCACUAAUUUUAACAGUGUACUGUACAUGUAGGGGGAUUUAUUAAGCCUGUCGCAAACUGGUGCAAACUGGAAGACUGGAAAUGUAAAGAGCAGCAUGUUGCGCAUGUCUAUAAAGAACUGGAGUACAAACAAAA